GUCGUCAGCUCGUGCCGUGAGGUGUUGGGUUAAGUCCCGCAACGAGCGCAACCCUUGCCCUUAGUUGCCAUCAUUCAGUUGGGCACUCUAGGGGGACUGCCGGCGUCAAGCCGGAGGAAGGCGAGGACGACGUCAAGUCAUCAUGGCCCUUAUGCCCAGGGCUACACACGUGCUACAAUGGGCGGUACAGAGGGUCGCGAACCCGUGAGGGCAAGCCAAUCCCCAAAAGCCGUCCUCAGUUCGGAUUGGAGUCUGCAACUCGACUCCAUGAAGGUGGAAUCGCUAGUAAUCGCGGAUCAGCAUGCCGCGGUGAAUACGUUCCCGGGCCUUGUACACACCGCCCGUCACACCAUGGAAGCCAGUGGUACCGGAAGUCGGUGGGCUAACCCGCAAGGGAGGCAGCCGCCUAUGGUAUGAUUGGUAACUGGGGUGAAGUCGUAACAAGGUAGCUGUAGGGGAACCUGCGGCUGGAUCACCUCCUUU
This 483-nucleotide ribosomal RNA is filed under the name Deltaproteobacteria bacterium. Its description in RNAcentral is "bacterial SSU rRNA". It matches the Rfam family "Bacterial small subunit ribosomal RNA", at positions 1051 to 1533 of the family's 1533-position model. Lineage: Bacteria; Pseudomonadati; Myxococcota; Myxococcia. The record is from RNAcentral.